UAGAGAAAAAAGGAGGGAUGGGGAAUGGAGAGGGAGAUUAGAGUGUAGUUGUUUUCAUGUUCUUGUUUUCCUAAAUUUUUUUUUGCUGCUGUUUGCUUGUUAUCGUGUUAUCGUUUUCCCUUUUUUUUUAUCCUCA
RNAcentral lists this non-coding RNA (136 nucleotides) under Palpitomonas bilix. The record is from RNAcentral.